RNAcentral lists this ribosomal RNA (468 nucleotides) under uncultured bacterium. Its description in RNAcentral is "partial 16S ribosomal RNA". It matches the Rfam family "Bacterial small subunit ribosomal RNA", at positions 28 to 507 of the family's 1533-position model. The record is from RNAcentral.
GACGAACGCUGGCGGCGUGCUUAACACAUGCAAGUCGAACGGAAAGGCCCUGCUUUUGUGGGGUGCUCGAGUGGCGAACGGGUGAGUAACACGUGAGUAACCUGCCCUUGACUUUGGGAUAACUUCAGGAAACUGGGGCUAAUACCGGAUAGGAGCUCCUGCUGCAUGGUGGGGGUUGGAAAGUUUCGGCGGUUGGGGAUGGACUCGCGGCUUAUCAGCUUGUUGGUGGGGUAGUGGCUUACCAAGGCUUUGACGGGUAGCCGGCCUGAGAGGGUGACCGGCCACGUUAGAACGGGGAUACGGCCCAGCCUCCAACCGGAGGGAACGGUGGAGAAUAGUGUCCAAUGGGCGGAAGCCAGGUGCGACGACGCCGCGUGCGGGAUGACGGCCUUCUGGUUGUAAACCGAUUUCGUCUGUGCGGAAGCGUGAGUGACGGUAAUGGGUAAAGAAGCACCGGCUAACUACGUG